AUUGAACGCUGGCGGCAAGCCUAACACAUUCAAGUCGAACGAUUGGCGGACGGGUGAGUAAUGUCUGGGAAACUGCCUGAUGGAGGGGGAUAACUACUGGACACGGUAGCUAAUACCGCAUACCAUCGGAUGUGCCCAGAUGGGAUUAGCUAGUAGGUGGGGUAAAGGCUCACCUAGGCGACGAUCCCUCGCUGGUCGGAGAGGAUGACCAGACACACUGGAACUGAGACACGGUCCAGACUCCUACUGGAGGCAGCAGUGGGGAAUAUUGCACAAUGGGUGCAAGCCUGAUGCAGCCAUGCCGCGUGUAUGAAGAAGGCCUUCGGGUUGUAAAGUACUUGCAGCGGGGAGGCGUUACCCGCAGAGGAAGCACCGGCUAACUCCGUGCCAGCAGCCGCGGUAAUUC
RNAcentral lists this ribosomal RNA (406 nucleotides) under uncultured bacterium. RNAcentral describes it as "partial 16S ribosomal RNA". It matches the Rfam family "Bacterial small subunit ribosomal RNA", at positions 30 to 526 of the family's 1533-position model. The record is from RNAcentral.